This is a non-coding RNA of Phasianus colchicus (ring-necked pheasant), 1234 nucleotides long. The record is from RefSeq and is a predicted model, not a curated record. NCBI's taxonomy places the organism in Eukaryota, Metazoa, Chordata, Aves, Galliformes, Phasianidae.
GUGUUGAGAUUGGGAUUGGGGUUGGGACUGGGAUUGGGAUUGGCAUCGGGACUGAGGGGUUGGGAUCGGGACUGGGAUUUGCGUUGAGAUCGGGAUUGGGAUUAAGACUGGGAUUUGGAUUGGGAUUUGGACUGGGAUUGGGAUUGAGGGGUUGGGGUUGGGAAUGGGGCUGGGAUUUGGUUUGAGAUUGGGAUUAGGACUGAGACUGAGAGAGGGGCUGGGAUUGAGACUAGGAUUUGGAUUGAGCUGGGGAUUGGGAUUGGGAUCAGGAGUGGGAUUUGGAUUGAUAAUAUAAUAAAUACAACCAAACGAAGAGGCGGUGCUGCUGGAGGUGCUGCUCCUCCUUCCUGCACCACUCUUUGGCAGCUCCAAACUGCAGAGCAUCUCAGAGCUCAGUGCUGCAUUUCCCAAAGCUUUGCACUGCUCAGAGCCCACAGCAGCCUCUGCCCCCACUGCAGGUCACCCCAUGGGCCGGGGGGAGGUGGGGAACCUCUGUCUGCUGGUGGGGGGGGGGGGCCCAAUUUGCUCAACCAGAGCCACACACAAAGCCUGGCAGGAGGGGCUGAGUGCUUCGUGACCCCUUUAAUCCACAGGAUGGCUUCUCCCCGUUGCAGGGAGCAGCUGAAAGGUGAUGCUGCUGUGUCCCUGCAAUGUUGUUGAUGGCCCUGAUGUCACCACGGCCCUGCAGUAUUGAUGAGGCCCAGAGAGGUGACAUCCAGCCCCAGUGCCUCCGUGUCCCUGCAGUAUUCAUGAAGCCCGAUGAGGUGACAGCAGGCCACGUCGUCACCGUAUCCCUGCACUAUUCAUGAAGCCAAUUGACUGGGGAGAGCCACAGACAGGCAGGACACAGGGCCAGGCAGUCCGUCUGUCCGUCCAUCUGUCCAUCUGGAGGGAGCAUGGCUUUCCCACACGUUCCUGUCCCCUCCUAACCCGAGCCACGUCUGCUGGACUCAAUGAUCCUUACAGAUCCCUUCCAUCUCGAGGUAUUCCGUGAUUCCAUGACUCCGUGAUUCCAUGAUUCUGUGAUUCCAUGAUUCUGUGGGGGCUCAGCCAAGUCCUGCUGUGCCCAACAACCACCAGUAUGGCUGCACCCAACAUUAAUGGCAUAUUUUAACCCGGGUUUUCCUGGAAAGCAGGGAGGCUGUGCAAGGAAGGGAAGCUGGAAGGGACGCCACUGGGAACAGUGGGGUCCUUUAUCCUAUGAUCGCUGCUUCUGUUUUUCCACUCUCCUCUG